AUACGGAGGAUCCGAGCGUUAUCCGGAUUUAUUGGGUUUAAAGGGAGCGUAGGUGGAUUGUUAAGUCAGUUGUGAAAGUUUGCGGCUCAACCGUAAAAUUGCAGUUGAAACUGGCAGUCUUGAGUACAGUAGAGGUGGGCGGAAUUCGUGGUGUAGCUGUGAAAUGCUUAGAUAUCACGAAGAACUCCGAUUGCGAAGGCAGCUCACUAGACUGUUACUGACACUGAUGCUCGAAAGUGUGGGUAUCAAACAGGAUUAGAUACCCUGGUAGUCCACACAGUAAACGAUGAAUACUCGCUGUUUGCGAUAUACAGUAAGCGGCCAAGCGAAAGCAUUAAGUAUUCCACCUGGGGAGUACGCCGGCAACGGUGAAACUCAAAUGAAUUGACGGGG
This 393-nucleotide ribosomal RNA is filed under the name uncultured bacterium. Its description in RNAcentral is "partial 16S ribosomal RNA". It matches the Rfam family "Bacterial small subunit ribosomal RNA", at positions 523 to 918 of the family's 1533-position model. The record is from RNAcentral.